AGUGAACGCUGGCGGCGUGCUUAACACAUGCAAGUCGAACGAGAACGGAAUAUAGCUUGCUAUAUUUGUCAGCUAAGUGGCGCACGGGUGAGUAAUGUAUAGAUAACCUGCCCUUAAGAAAGGAAUAACAGUUGGAAACGACUGCUAAUGCCCUAUAUGCCUUUAAUACAUAAGUAUGCAAGGGAAACGCUUUAGUGCUUAAGGAUGGGUCUGUAUGGUAUCAGCUUGUUGGUGAGGUAAUGGCUCACCAAGGCUAUGACGCCUAACUGGUUUGAGAGGAUGAUCAGUCACACUGGAACUGAGACACGGUCCAGACUCCUACGGGAGGCAGCAGUGGGGAAUAUUGCACAAUGGACGAAAGUCUGAUGCAGCAACGCCGCGUGGAGGAUGACACAUUUCGGUGCGUAAACUCCUUUUAUAUAGGAAGAUAAUGACGGUACUAUAUGAAUAAGCACCGGCUAACUCCGUG
RNAcentral lists this ribosomal RNA (469 nucleotides) under uncultured bacterium. RNAcentral's name for it is "bacterial SSU rRNA". It matches the Rfam family "Bacterial small subunit ribosomal RNA", at positions 29 to 507 of the family's 1533-position model. The record is from RNAcentral.